UGCGAUCUCAUUAUGUGCCUGCUCCACCUUAACUCUUGCAAUCUCAGUAUCAAAACCUCUGUCAGAUACUUACAAGAGCUCUUUAUUUAGAUAAGGCAGGUCAUUUUUCAUGAAGACAACAUCCAUGUUGAUGACUAUCUUCUGCUUCCCUUUCUCAAUACACCAAAGCCUGUAGCCUUGCACUCCCUUCUGGUACCCUAGCAUAACACAUUUUAAGGCUCUUG
This 224-nucleotide long non-coding RNA is filed under the name Salvia miltiorrhiza (redroot sage). RNAcentral's name for it is "long non-coding RNA (SMIL_LNC010133)". The record is from RNAcentral. Lineage: Eukaryota; Viridiplantae; Streptophyta; Magnoliopsida; Lamiales; Lamiaceae.